ACACGGCGAGUGGGACACGGUCCCGAGUCCUACGGGAGGCAGCAGUGGGGAAUAUUGCACAAUGGGCGCAAGCCUGAUGCAGCACAUGCCGCGUGUAUGAAGAAGGCCUUAGGGUUGUAAAGUACUUUCAGCGGGGAGGAAGGUGAUAAGGUUAAUACCCUUGUCAAUUGACGUUACCCGCAGAAGAAGCACCGGCUAAC
This 200-nucleotide ribosomal RNA is filed under the name uncultured bacterium. RNAcentral describes it as "partial 16S ribosomal RNA". It matches the Rfam family "Bacterial small subunit ribosomal RNA", at positions 310 to 501 of the family's 1533-position model. The record is from RNAcentral.